Molecule: unclassified non-coding RNA, 299 nt
Filed under: Melitaea cinxia (Glanville fritillary)
Lineage: Eukaryota; Metazoa; Arthropoda; Insecta; Lepidoptera; Nymphalidae
Description: misc RNA ENSMCXG00005000250.1
Source: RNAcentral
ACCGACAAUUUGGAAUGUAGAUUCUAGAAGAAUCGGCAAGAAACUCCGCAGUUACUCUUUUGAAAAUAAAUAUAAACUGUGUUUUAGUACAAAAUUAGAAACAUGUUGCAUGAAAUGCAGCGUCACUAAGUCCACACAUCUUUAUCAACUAUGUAAUCCUGUACCGAGUAAUAAGCUUUAUCUAUUAAUUUUUUUUUAAUAAAAACUUUAAAUUUAUGUUGAGACAAUUCCAAAAUCGUUUGUGGUAUUUUAUUAUACAUGCGAAUACCGUGACCCAGAAAGGAAACGUUUACUUUUCG